RNAcentral lists this ribosomal RNA (197 nucleotides) under uncultured bacterium. RNAcentral's name for it is "partial 16S ribosomal RNA". It matches the Rfam family "Bacterial small subunit ribosomal RNA", at positions 326 to 538 of the family's 1533-position model. The record is from RNAcentral.
ACGCUCGACACCUACGAGGCAGCAGUGGGGAAUAUUGCACAAUGGGGGAAACCCUGAUGCAGCGACGCCGCGUGAAGGAAGAAGUAUCUCGGUAUGUAAACUUCUAUCAGCAGGGAAGAAAAUGACGGUACCUGACUAAGAAGCCCCGGCUAACUACGUGCCCGCAGCCGCGGUAAUCUGAGCGGGCGUGGCAAGGC